AGUUUGAUCCUGGCUCAGGAUGAACGCUGGCGGCGUGCCUAAUACAUGCAAGUCGAACGCACAGCGAAAGGUGCUUGCACCUUUCAAGUGAGUGGCGAACGGGUGAGUAACACGUGGACAACCUGCCUCAAGGCUGGGGAUAACAUUUGGAAACAGAUGCUAAUACCGAAUAAAACUCAGUGUCGCAUGACACAAAGUUAAAAGGCGCUUUGGCGUCACCUAGAGAUGGAUCCGCGGUGCAUUAGUUAGUUGGUGGGGUAAAGGCCUACCAAGACAAUGAUGCAUAGCCGAGUUGAGAGACUGAUCGGCCACAUUGGGACUGAGACACGGCCCAAACUCCUACGGGAGGCUGCAGUAGGGAAUCUUCCACAAUGGGCGAAAGCCUGAUGGAGCAACGCCGCGUGUGUGAUGAAGGCUUUCGGGUCGUAAAGCACUGUUGUAUGGGAAGAACAGCUAGAAUAGGGAAUGAUUUUAGUUUGACGGUACCAUACCAGAAAGGGACGGCUAAAUACGUGCCAGCAGCCGCGGUAAUACGUAUGUCCCGAGCGUUAUCCGGAUUUAUUGGGCGUAAAGCGAGCGCAGACGGUUGAUUAAGUCUGAUGUGAAAGCCCGGAG
RNAcentral lists this ribosomal RNA (615 nucleotides) under uncultured bacterium. RNAcentral's name for it is "bacterial SSU rRNA". It matches the Rfam family "Bacterial small subunit ribosomal RNA", at positions 10 to 607 of the family's 1533-position model. The record is from RNAcentral.